Molecule: long non-coding RNA, 502 nt
Organism: Ipomoea nil (Japanese morning glory)
Lineage: Eukaryota; Viridiplantae; Streptophyta; Magnoliopsida; Solanales; Convolvulaceae
Exons: 4
Source: RefSeq, a predicted model, not a curated record
UGCCAGAAGAUUUCCACCGCUGCUGUCAUCCAGAUCUGUUCGCAUUUGCUUACAACUUUUGAUAAAAAGGAUCUCUGCUCAGAAGGAAAAGAAUACCAACACUUGAAUAAAGAAAAAUGACCUUGAGCAUUUUUAGUGACAUUGCAAAGCAAUGCAGAGAUCAUGGUUUAAAGCACUGUGGCAAGUAUUCCAUUCCUGUUCUAACUUCUAAGCUUGCAAGGACACAAGCAGCAGUUGCCAUUCAAUUCGUUUCUCCUUCUCCGAUUCACACAGCAGCGGUAGUUGUUCGUUUCUCCUUCAUUAGCUAAAAGGAGCAGAUCAGAAGGGGAAAUCAAAAUAUUCCCAGUGGAGGAACUAUGAUGAUAUAAAUGAAUACUUUUUUAUGUGAAGUACGAAGAGGAGAGAGAGAGAAAGUGAACUUGUUUUAUUCAAUGUGUCAACAGAAGCCAGGAGAAAGCAUUUGUACAAAAGGAAUUGGAGGUAAAAGGCGGUUACAACUAAU